Molecule: long non-coding RNA, 222 nt
Filed under: Carica papaya (papaya)
Lineage: Eukaryota; Viridiplantae; Streptophyta; Magnoliopsida; Brassicales; Caricaceae
Description: long non-coding RNA (CPAP_LNC000665)
Source: RNAcentral
CACUGUGAAGCCGUGUUCGGACCCCGAAACGUGUAAGGACCCCUCACCCUAUUUCCUAUCACGGUUUUAAAGUUCAAUAAAUGAUAAAACGGUAUUUCAUGAAUCAACGAAUGUGUAAAAUUGCUUAAGGUUGCUAAUGGAGCCCGAGUCUAGUGUGUUUGUCGGUUAACUGUUAUUUGGCCUGUUUUACAGUUUUAAAUGCAGCAUGAGGUUCGAUGUUUU